AGCUCUAAUAGCGUAUAUUAAUGUUGUUGCAGUUAAAAAGCUCGUAGUUGGAUUUUGGAGUUUGACAGACGGUCUGCCUAAUGGUGUGUACUUUCUGUCGGCUCUUCUUUUCUGUGAACCUCAUUGCUCUUAAUUGAGGAGUGCUGGAACGCAGAUCGUUUACUUUGAAAAAAUUAGAGUGUUCAAAGCAGGCCAAUGCAUUGAAUACAUUAGCAUGGAAUAAUGGAAUAGGACUUUGGUCUUAUUUUGUUGGUUUCUAAGGCUGAGGUAAUGAUUAAUAGGGAUAGUUGGGGGCGUUUAUAUUCCGUUGUCAGAGGUGAAAUUCUUGGAUUUACGGAAGAUAAACUACUGCGAAAGCAUUCGCCAAGGAUGUUUUCAUUAAUCAAGAACGAAAGUACGC
Molecule: ribosomal RNA, 400 nt
Filed under: phytoplankton environmental sample
Lineage: Eukaryota
Description: partial small subunit ribosomal RNA
Rfam family: Eukaryotic small subunit ribosomal RNA
Source: RNAcentral